CGCGGAUGAUGACACCUGGGUAUGCUGCACACUCCCGACUGCGUCGUGGGGAAGCCAACCUUGGAGAGCUGAGCGUGCGGGCAGCC
This 86-nucleotide small nucleolar RNA is filed under the name Mus musculus (house mouse). The record is from RNAcentral. Lineage: Eukaryota; Metazoa; Chordata; Mammalia; Rodentia; Muridae.